CGCCGCCCGGGCGGCGGCAGCCAAGACCCGGAGCCGGGACCGCGCGCCCCGCCGCGUGUUGCCAGCUGGGCCUCCUACUGGGGUGGGAUCUGGGCACGGGGGAGGGCGGCGCGAGGGCGCGGCCGUCUCACUCUGCCCGCAGCUUCCCUAACGCCAGGCCUCGGGUUUCUCCUGAGUGUCCACCUCCCCUUAAGGGGAGCGGAGGAGUGUUCCGUAGGUGGACUCCAGGAGGUCUACGUUCUAAAGAAACGAAGCUGUCAAUGGGCGUCCGGCAGUACAAAUGCAAAGUCUUCGCGAAGGUGCCUGCAAAGCCCUUUGAACCUUAAAACUACUAGCACCUCGAAAGCCUGGUCUUCCGUACUUCUCUCUGGGGACCCCCCCGCCCCAAAGCACUCAAUGCGUGUGUGCUCCAUUGCAGCGCUAUCUCGGUUUAUUUUGGUGUUUAUCCAUUCUUCAUCUUCACAUUUGAAAUCCCUAUCCCAAACACCACCUUCUACAUAUGAAAUAAGUUGAUAUUCAACGAGCUGGAAUUUCAGUGACCAAAGAAAGCAUAACCAGAUUCCUAAACAAGAACCACAAGUUAAGGAGGCCUAUUCAUCAACAACUUAAGGUACCUCAAGCUCCGCCUGUGAAAACAGGUGGCUCAGCCAAAGCUGUCCCACUCCAACAGGCCUCCUUCACACUUAGCCGUUUCUUUGUUUGCUACACUGGAGGAUCACCCCAUGUCCUAUUAUACAUCAACAUAAUCAUUAAACUCCUCGAAGCUAAGAGUUAGGACUUUAUACAACGCCGUCGGUGUGUCAAGCGCUCAAGCGACGAGCAAACAUACUAGGAAAUUGAAGAAAAACAGGGAUCCUCGACAGACAAUGAGCAGAUAACAUCUCACAUUCAAACCCAUGCCCAAGUGGACACCAAAAUAAGUAAAAACAUUUCUAUUCUUCACACCAAUCACUGCUGCUUUCUUGACAGAAUUUGUUAACAAUUUUCAAGGUAUUGCACCAUGUAUUAUCUCUAAAGAGCCUUCAAUCCUAGCCUACCUCCAAAAGAGGAUGGAGAGAGCAACCAGAUUCAGACGACGAGCUAGUACAUAGAGUAAAGUAAUUCUUCGCCGUGGUGGAAAAAACAGACUGGGGGAGAUUGAGAACCUGAGAAGAGUAACCCAGAAAAGUUCACAUUUGACAACAUCGAAGAUCUCAAUUAUGACUAACCACAAUUGGUCCUCCACACUGAAGGUGUAAACCCCUGAUAGACUACGCCAAAGCAGGAGCAAGCCAUUCUCCUUAACUCAGCACCAACUGCCUCUCCUCCAAUGAGUUAGCUGGAUUCCGCUAGAGAUGGCAAAUCUGACCACAUUUUCAGCUGUCUAUUUACCCCUUCUUCCCUGACUUCCUCAUCUCCCUCCAUUUAAAAUAACCACUGGAUUAUUAAAUGCUAUUUUGCAAAUUGA
Mastomys coucha (southern multimammate mouse) is the source of this 1447-nucleotide long non-coding RNA. RefSeq lists it as uncharacterized. The record is from RefSeq and is a predicted model, not a curated record. The transcript has 2 exons. Lineage: Eukaryota; Metazoa; Chordata; Mammalia; Rodentia; Muridae.